UGGGGAAUAUUGCACAAUGGGCGCAAGCCUGAUGCAGCCAUGCCACGUGUAUGAAGAAGGCCUUCGGGUUGUAAAGUACUUUCAGUCGGGAGGAAGGUGGUAAGGUUAAUAACCUUAUCAAUUGACGUUACCGACAGAAGAAGCACCGGCUAACUCCGUGCCAGCAGCCGCGGUAAUACGGAGGGUGCAAGCGUUAAUCGGAAUUACUGGGCGUAAAGCGCACGCAGGCGGUUGAUUGAGUCAGAUGUGAAAUCCCCGGGCUUAACCCGGGAAUUGCAUCUGAUACUGGUCAGCUAGAGUCUUGUAGAGGGGGGUAGAAUUCCAUGUGUAGCGGUGAAAUGCGUAGAGAUGUGGAGGAAUACCGGUGGCGAAGGCGGCCCCCUGGACGAAGACUGACGCUCAGGUGCGAAAGCGUGGGGAGCAAACAGG
This 429-nucleotide ribosomal RNA is filed under the name Chloroflexota bacterium. RNAcentral describes it as "Chloroflexi bacterium partial 16S ribosomal RNA". It matches the Rfam family "Bacterial small subunit ribosomal RNA", at positions 355 to 776 of the family's 1533-position model. Lineage: Bacteria; Bacillati; Chloroflexota. The record is from RNAcentral.